This 381-nucleotide ribosomal RNA is filed under the name uncultured bacterium. RNAcentral's name for it is "partial 16S ribosomal RNA". It matches the Rfam family "Bacterial small subunit ribosomal RNA", at positions 338 to 733 of the family's 1533-position model. The record is from RNAcentral.
CCUACGGGUGGCAACAGUGGGGAAUAUUGGGCAAUGGAGGCAACUCUGACCCAGCAAAGCCGCGUGAAUGAUGACGGUCUUCGGAUUGUAAAGUCCUGUGAUGGGGGAUGAACACACUGACGGUACCCCAAUAGCAAGCCACGGCGAACUACGUGCCAGCAGCAGCGGGAAUACGGCGGUGGCAGGCGUUCUCCGGAAUGACUGGGCGUAAAGGGUGCGUAGGUGGUUUAGUAAGUUGGCGGUGUAAUUCCGGGGCCCAACCCCCGCGCUACCGCAAAAACUAGUAGACUAGAGUGGGGGAGGAGUACGUGGAAUGCGCAGUGUAGCGGUGGAAUGCAUAGAUAUUAGGAAGAACAUCAGGUGCGAAGGCGACGUACUGGA